GACGGAGGAUGCAAGCGUUAUCCGGAAUGAUUGGGCGUAAAGCGUCCGCAGGUGGCAGUUCAAGUCUGCUGUCAAAGACCGGGGCUUAACCCUGGAAAGGCAGUGGAAACUGAGAAGCUAGAGUGUGGCAGGGGCAGAGGGAAUUCCCGGUGUAGCGGUGAAAUGCGUAGAGAUCGGGAAGAACACCGGUGGCGAAAGCGCUCUGCUGGGCCACAACUGACACUCAGGGACGAAAGCUAGGGGAGCGAAAGGG
This 253-nucleotide ribosomal RNA is filed under the name uncultured bacterium. Its description in RNAcentral is "partial 16S ribosomal RNA". It matches the Rfam family "Bacterial small subunit ribosomal RNA", at positions 524 to 776 of the family's 1533-position model. The record is from RNAcentral.